Molecule: ribosomal RNA, 253 nt
Filed under: uncultured Sporomusa sp.
Lineage: Bacteria; Bacillati; Bacillota; Negativicutes; Selenomonadales; Sporomusaceae
Description: partial 16S ribosomal RNA
Rfam family: Bacterial small subunit ribosomal RNA
Source: RNAcentral
UACGUAGGUGGCAAGCGUUGUCCGGAAUUAUUGGGCGUAAAGGGCGUGUAGGUGGAUAACUAAGUCUUGUGUCUAAGUGCGGGGCUCAACCCCGUAUAGGCGCAGGAAACUGGUAAUCUAGAGUGCAGGAGAGGAAAGUGGAAUUCCCAGUGUAGCGGUGAAAUGCGUAGAUAUUGGGAGGAACACCAGUGGCGAAGGCGACUUUCUGGACUGUAACUGACACUGAGGCGCGAAAGCCAGGGGAGCGAACGGG